Molecule: long non-coding RNA, 224 nt
Filed under: Phaseolus vulgaris (common bean)
Lineage: Eukaryota; Viridiplantae; Streptophyta; Magnoliopsida; Fabales; Fabaceae
Description: long non-coding RNA (PVUL_LNC002159)
Source: RNAcentral
CAAGCACAAGCCCAAAUGCAAGCCCACCAAAGAGUAGAUUUGGGCUAACCACUAGAGUUAUGGCCAAGAAGAUUCAAGAAGAUUGAAAUGCUGCUACUGAUGGCAGAGAAACCUUCUUAUACAUGUUCAAAAUAUGCCAUAAACUCUAGUGUAGAGUAGAAUUUAAUUUCUUGUCAAAAUUAGCAUAGGAACUUUAUUUGUAAUUUUGUUUAAAAUGAAGUUUG